CCUAGGAAUCUGCCUGGUUGUGGGGGAUAACGUCCGGAAACGGGCGCUAAUACCGCAUACGUCCUGAGGGAGAAAGUGGGGGAUCUUCGGACCUCACGCUAUCAGAUGAGCCUAGGUCGGAUUAGCUAGUUGGUGGGGUAAAGGCCUACCAAGGCGACGAUCCGUAACUGGUCUGAGAGGAUGAUCAGUCACACUGGAACUGAGACACGGUCCAGACUCCUACGGGAGGCAGCAGUGGGGAAUAUUGGACAAUGGGCGAAAGCCUGAUCCAGCCAUGCCGCGUGUGUGAAGAAGGUCUUCGGAUUGUAAAGCACUUUAAGUUGGGAGGAAGGGCAGUAAGUUAAUACCUUG
RNAcentral lists this ribosomal RNA (351 nucleotides) under Escherichia coli. RNAcentral describes it as "bacterial SSU rRNA". It matches the Rfam family "Bacterial small subunit ribosomal RNA", at positions 116 to 471 of the family's 1533-position model. The record is from RNAcentral. Lineage: Bacteria; Pseudomonadati; Pseudomonadota; Gammaproteobacteria; Enterobacterales; Enterobacteriaceae.